Vombatus ursinus (common wombat) is the source of this 315-nucleotide long non-coding RNA. RefSeq lists it as uncharacterized. The record is from RefSeq and is a predicted model, not a curated record. Lineage: Eukaryota; Metazoa; Chordata; Mammalia; Diprotodontia; Vombatidae. The transcript has 3 exons.
UCCUCAAACACAUCCAGAAUGGACAUUUUGAUCACAGUCCAAGGACACCUUUACAUCUGGCUUAAUUUGUGAUAACUGGACUAAUCUUUACAGAAUGGAAAACGAUGGAAUAGAUACUUUCAGAGGAAACUAGGAAGACCUCUAUAUGAUGCAGAGUGAAGUGAGCAGAACCAGGAGAACAAUUUAUACAAUGACAACAUUACAGAGAAAAAAGCUUUGUAACAUUUGAGAACUCUGAUCAAUGCAAUGACUUGACAAAGGACCAGAGGAAGGAAGAUGAGGAAGCUGAGGCGUAUGCCAAGGGCCACACAGUUA